Molecule: ribosomal RNA, 328 nt
Filed under: Klebsiella pneumoniae
Lineage: Bacteria; Pseudomonadati; Pseudomonadota; Gammaproteobacteria; Enterobacterales; Enterobacteriaceae
Description: bacterial LSU rRNA
Rfam family: Bacterial large subunit ribosomal RNA
Source: RNAcentral
AACGUCGUGAGACAGUUCGGUCCCUAUCUGCCGUGGGCGCUGGAGAAUUGAGGGGGGCUGCUCCUAGUACGAGAGGACCGGAGUGGACGCAUCACUGGUGUUCGGGUUGUCAUGCCAAUGGCACUGCCCGGUAGCUAAAUGCGGAAGAGAUAAGUGCUGAAAGCAUCUAAGCACGAAACUUGCCCCGAGAUGAGUUCUCCCUGAGACUAUAAGUCUCCUGAAGGAACGUUGAAGACGACGACGUUGAUAGGCCGGGUGUGUAAGCGCAGCGAUGCGUUGAGCUAACCGGUACUAAUGAACCGUGAGGCUUAACCUUACAACGCCGAAG